GAGGCUGUAACUCAGUGGUAGAGUGCUUGCCUAGCAUGCAUGAGGUCCUAGCUUCA
RNAcentral lists this transfer RNA (56 nucleotides) under Ictidomys tridecemlineatus (thirteen-lined ground squirrel). RNAcentral's name for it is "Spermophilus tridecemlineatus (thirteen-lined ground squirrel) tRNA". It matches the Rfam family "tRNA", at positions 1 to 55 of the family's 71-position model. Rfam says of the family: Transfer RNA (tRNA) molecules are approximately 80 nucleotides in length. Their secondary structure includes four short double-helical elements and three loops (D, anti-codon, and T loops). Further hydrogen bonds mediate the characteristic L-shaped molecular structure. tRNAs have two regions of fundamental functional importance: the anti-codon, which is responsible for specific mRNA codon recognition, and the 3' end, to which the tRNAs corresponding amino acid is attached (by aminoacyl-tRNA synthetases). tRNAs cope with the degeneracy of the genetic code in two manners: having more than one tRNA (with a specific anti-codon) for a particular amino acid; and 'wobble' base-pairing, i.e. permitting non-standard base-pairing at the 3rd anti-codon position. Lineage: Eukaryota; Metazoa; Chordata; Mammalia; Rodentia; Sciuridae. RNAcentral also lists the same sequence under 1 other name. The record is from Rfam by way of RNAcentral.